This 434-nucleotide ribosomal RNA is filed under the name uncultured bacterium. RNAcentral describes it as "partial 16S ribosomal RNA". It matches the Rfam family "Bacterial small subunit ribosomal RNA", at positions 29 to 507 of the family's 1533-position model. The record is from RNAcentral.
AGCGAACGCUGGCGGCAGGCUUAACACAUGCAAGUCGAACGAACCUGCCGGGCUUGGUGGCGGACGGGUGGGUAACACGGGGGAACGUGCCUUUAGGUUCGGCACAACUCAGGGAAAUAUGCGUGAAUAACGGAUGUUCCCAUCGGGGGAAAGAUUUAUCGCCUUUAGAGCGGCCCGCGUCUGUUUAGUUUGUUGGUUGAGGUAAUGGUACACCAUGGCGACGAUCAGUAGCUGGUCUGAGAGGAUGAUCAGUCACAUUGGGACUGAGACACGGCCCAAACUCCUACGAGAGGCAGCAGUGGGGGAUCUUGCGGAAUGGGCGAGAGGCUGACGCAGCCAUGCCGGGUGAAUGAUGAUGGUCUUAGGAUUGUAAAAUUCUUUCACCGGGGACGAUAAUGACGGUACCCGGAGAAGAAGCCCCGGCUAACUACGUG